GGCUGCUCAACACUUCGCCCUGGGAAGCAGCUUCGGCAUCAGCCAAGGAAGCCUGCAAGGAACAAAGUGGGGGCAUAGUGGGAGGGCUGCACCGCAGAUGCGGUACCUGCAUGCUACAGCCCUGUGCACACCUGCACCACUCCCCAAUCAAGUACCUGGAUAACAAAGGGCAUCGAAACAUGAUGCACGAACAUCUUGCUAACUUGACAAGGAACAUACAUCAUUUGACCUGCUACUUUGUCUUAUUCGGCUCAUCUCCCAUUUGGGAAUUGCUCAGUGUCUCUGACAACACGGAAGGCUUCCCACUGAAAUGAAAAGAAGCAGGUGAAAUGUUUGGCAGGUGAAAAUCUGGAUCCCAUGAAGUCAACUUCGGGUGUCAGCAUCAUCUCUGCCAUGCCCUAGCAUGUUACCGCAAGAUGAACUGGAGGGCUGGAAAUAGAGAAGCUGGGAUCCCAUCCAGAAGGGGGGACAUCUGGACUGAGGAGAAGAGUCGUAUAGAUUGAUCAGUGCCAGAAUGGGCACUGACAACAAUGCAAAAAAGCUAAAGAGAAGGCAGCAGAGCAUGAAGUGAUUUGUUACUGCCUAGGAAGAUAUAUCCCAGGAAAAUUCUCUCUACUUGCUGUUGUCUCUCUCUUUGCCAGUCCAGUAAGUAUAGGAACAGAAACACUUUUUUGAAAACUGGUACAAAGAAGAUGCUCACAGCUGAGAGGGUCUUGAUACCAUCAUCACCAAUGUCCUCAAAAAACCAGAGGAAAACAAACGUGGCACAGGCAGGAUAGUUUGCUUUGACUUGACUCCCUUCCAAAAGUCAACCGAAUUAGAAAGGAGCAGAAUUAAGACUGUAUUCCUAACAAUUCUACAUUUUCACACCUUUUCUGUUCUUUUUUCCUUUUCUAAAACAAUUAUUAACCUAGAAGCCAAA
This is a long non-coding RNA of Struthio camelus australis, 922 nucleotides long. RefSeq lists it as uncharacterized. NCBI's taxonomy places the organism in Eukaryota, Metazoa, Chordata, Aves, Struthioniformes, Struthionidae. The record is from RefSeq and is a predicted model, not a curated record.